This 65-nucleotide transfer RNA is filed under the name Aleyrodidae sp. JXCHN01. Its description in RNAcentral is "tRNA-Met". Lineage: Eukaryota; Metazoa; Arthropoda; Insecta; Hemiptera; Aleyrodidae. The record is from RNAcentral.
AGAAGAAUAAGCUAAGUUGAAGCUAUUGGAUUCAUAUUUCAAUUAUAAGUAAUUCUUUUCUUCUG